Molecule: transfer RNA, 72 nt
Filed under: Bos taurus (domestic cattle)
Lineage: Eukaryota; Metazoa; Chordata; Mammalia; Artiodactyla; Bovidae
Also listed under: 2 other names
Rfam family: tRNA
About the family: Transfer RNA (tRNA) molecules are approximately 80 nucleotides in length.
Source: Rfam by way of RNAcentral
UCCCUCAUAGCUUAAUUGGUAAAUCAUCUGCCUACAAUGCAGGCGACCUGGGUUCGAUUCCUGGGUUGGGAA